AUUGAACGCUGGCGGCAUGCCUUACACAUGCAAGUCGAACGGCAGCACGGGAGCUUGCUCCUGGUGGCGAGUGGCGAACGGGUGAGUAAUACAUCGGAACGUACCCUGAAUGGGGGAUAACGUAGCGAAAGUUACGCUAAUACCGCAUAUUCUGUGAGCAGGAAAGAGGGGGGAUCGCAAGACCUCUUGCUUUAGGAGCGGCCGAUGUCGGAUUAGCUAGUUGGUGAGGUAAAGGCUCACCAAGGCGACGAUCCGUAGCGGGUCUGAGAGGAUGAUCCGCACACUGGGACUGAGACACGGCCCAGACUCCUACGGGAGGCAGCAGUGGGGAAUUUUGGACAAUGGGCGCAAGCCUGAUCCAGCCAUGCCGCGUGAGUGAAGAAGG
RNAcentral lists this ribosomal RNA (385 nucleotides) under uncultured bacterium. RNAcentral's name for it is "bacterial SSU rRNA". It matches the Rfam family "Bacterial small subunit ribosomal RNA", at positions 30 to 414 of the family's 1533-position model. The record is from RNAcentral.